GACGAGCCACACAAACGUUAUUCGGAAUCACUGGGCUUAAAGGGUGCGUAGGCGGCGCAGCAAGUUGGGUGUGAAAUCCUACAGCUUAACUGUAGAAGUGCACUCAAAACUGCUGUGCUCGAGGGAGACAGAGGUGAGCGGAACUGAGGGUGGAGCGGUGAAAUGCGUUGAUAUCCUCAGGAACACCGGUGGCGAAAGCGGCUCACUGGGUCUCUUCUGACGCUGAGGCACGAAAGCUAGGGGAGCGAACGGG
Molecule: ribosomal RNA, 253 nt
Filed under: uncultured bacterium
Lineage: Bacteria
Also listed under: 1 other name
Description: partial 16S ribosomal RNA
Rfam family: Bacterial small subunit ribosomal RNA
Source: RNAcentral